GACGAACGCUGGCGGCGUGCCUAAUACAUGCAAGUCGAACGAGUGGCGGACGGGUGAGUAAUGUGUGGGGAUCUGCCCGAUAGAGGGGGAUAACUACUGGAAACGAUGGCUAAAACCGCAUACUAUCGGAUGAACCCAGAUGGGAUUAGCUAGCAGGUGGGGUAAAGGCGCACCAAGGCGACGAUCUGUAGCGGGUCUGAGAGGAUGAUCAGCCACACUGGGACUGAGACACGGCCCAGACUCCUACGUGAGGCAGCAGUGGGGAAUAUUGGACAAUGGGCGCAAGCCUGAGCCAGCCAUGCCGCGUGUAUGAAGAAGGCCUUAGGGUGGUAAAGUACUUUCAGCGGGGAGGCGUUACCCGAAGAAGAAGCACCGGCUAACUCCGUGCCAGCAGCCGCGGUAAUAC
This 406-nucleotide ribosomal RNA is filed under the name uncultured bacterium. Its description in RNAcentral is "partial 16S ribosomal RNA". It matches the Rfam family "Bacterial small subunit ribosomal RNA", at positions 28 to 526 of the family's 1533-position model. The record is from RNAcentral.